Phascolarctos cinereus (koala) is the source of this 2495-nucleotide long non-coding RNA. The record is from Ensembl. Lineage: Eukaryota; Metazoa; Chordata; Mammalia; Diprotodontia; Phascolarctidae.
UAUCAAUAGAGUGGAAAAAGGGGGGAGAUUUAGUAUAGAGCUUAAUUGCACCAGGUGGAUGAGGCAAUGAGGUAGAAGAGGCAUGUAUAUUCAUUGACCUCUGGCUUCUAGUUUUCUAAAUGAUUAUUAGUUUCUAACAGAACAAUCACUUUCUCAGCACCACAAUUUAUGGAAAGAGAAAGGAAGAAGAUUCAGUAACAGAAAACCUCCACUUUGGAAUUGUUAUAGUGAGAUGACAUUCUGAGAAGGAUUAGAGAGAACAUGAUCCAUUACUCACAUUUUGCUUCAAGAGCCAAGUCCCAACAGCUUAAGGAUUACAUCAAACAACUAGGAAACGUGGGAAGAAUCAAUGUCUCCAAAAGCAAAAAUCGCUUUGUGAUCUCAGUUUCUCAGAGAGCAGCUGUGAACCUGUUUUGACCCCCUGGCUGCUGAGGUUGGAAACUAUGCUGCUUCAAUCAAUUUUCCCUGGGCUCUUCAAUGAUGCCUAUUUCCAUCUGGGCUUGGGACAGAAUUGGAAAGAAGGCAGCCAGCUUCAGGUCUCAUUUCCAGUCCUAGCACAUGGCAAUAUCCUUCAGAGCACAAGGAGACAAUUCUUAUGUCAGUUUCCAAGACUGAAGAUGUUAAUGAAGACUCAUGAUGUAUUUUGGAGAACAAAGUUAAACACAAAAUCCAUCAAGAUGGGGCUAUUAGGAUUAUUUGGGGGCUAGCUCUGUAAUCCUUGUAUACACUACUCCCAAGGAAGCCAAUGGGAGUGUAUCAAUGACUCUCUUCAACCUAGGCUCCUGAUCAACUUGCUUGGUAUUUUAUAGAGUUGCAGAGACAGGACAGAAUACAGCAGAAGCCAUGUCCUUUGGAUUGAUCUCCUACCUAAAUUUUCUUUUUUUUCUGAACAACGAGGAUUUCAGUCCAGGGAAUGUUACUGCUGGAAGUAGCAUCCUUUGCUAUAGCAUUAAAGCCGCCACUUGUACCUGCUCCACACAUCCUUUACUAGCCAUUAAGUCAUCCACCUGUCACCAUCAUUUUCUCUGAACUUAGGAAUUAAGGCAAGUCCAAUUCUCCACAUUGCCUGCUCCAUAUGUCGCCAUGGAAAUGAGUAACAUUGGAUUGAAAAUAGCUUUCAUAUAACAAGGUUUCUUUGUGUAUAUUAUUAACAGUAAUUUAAGAAAAUGCUCCUCCCCCGUGAAGAAAUUGCACAAUUAGGCCUCAGAGAACCUAUAGUUGGCUUGCUUGUUAGUUUUCCAGCACCCAAAUGGCAAACAAGAUGAAUCCCAUGCCAGGCAAACAUUACAAUGAGGCUAAGAAGUCCAAGAAGAUACAACAUAGUUACCACUAUAGAUGAUUACUUUUUCUUGAACACAUUAAAACAUUUUUUGAUAUAUUUAUAAAUGAAAUCCUUGUAUCAUUGCAUGUGUGCUUGGCUGAAAAACCUCCAGAGAAAUCGAUAACAAGAAGUCAAUUACAGUGAAAAUCUGCUCAAAAAGUGAUUUUAAGAGAUACCAAUUCAUGAGUUCAAUAACUCAGUGAUCUUUUUUUUUUCUUAUGCUAUUGAAUAUAAGUAGUAUAAGAAAAAAGAUCACUGGGUUAUUGAACUUGUGAAUUUGUAUAUAUAUAUAUAUAUGUUCCAAUUUAAAUAUAUUCCAACUAUACAUGUAUAUAUAUUCCAAUUUUUAUAUAUGUAUAUAUAUAGUGUGUGUUGUAUGUGUGUGUGUAUAUAUAUAUGUAUAUAUAUAUAUGUAUAUAUAUAUAUAUAUAUAUAUAUAUACACACACACACAACACACACACAUAUACAUAUAUAUUUUUCCAAUUUAAAAAUAUUUCAGGGGGAAAGAGAUAAUAGAAACCAGAGCCCAAGGGGUUGGGGUAGGGUCCUAAUUUGCCUUUCUGAAAUAUUGGGAGUACAGACUGUAAUUGCUCACUACGUACACUAAAAAAGUACAAUAAGAUCCUUCAUUUUAAAAAAGUUGCUUCCACAUAUUUUAAACUCUAAAAUAUUUUAAAGCAAGUUUAGUCGAUUGGACUUCCUUAAUGUUUUACACUAAGGUUUUUAUCUGAAAAUCAAAGGGGGGUGUGUGUGUGUGUGUGUGUGUGUGUGUGUGUGUGUGUGUGUACAAUUGUUUUGGUAUGCUGUGUAUGGCCAGAAAUAUAUGGAGCUGAUAUGUACACAUAAACAUUACUCUGUGCUUAUGCAGACCUAGUCAUCUUAUCAUAUGCAUUAUCUUACUUCUACUCCAUUCUCUGAUUCCUUUUUCAAAGUUGUGCAGUGGAAAGCACGGGCGUUGGGUCAGGGGAGCUGGGUUCUGCUCCUGACUUGGAUGCUUACUAGAUGUGUGACUAUGAACAAGUCUUUUAACUUCUUCAAUUAUAAUCUAAGGCUAAUAUCCACACUCCUUAUCUCACAGUGUUGUGAAGAAAACACUUUGUUAACCUCACCAGUGUGAUAUAAAUGAGAUACCGUUAUUAGUAAGAAAAUAAUAAAUAUAAUUUUUCUGGUCA